Long non-coding RNA from Haliotis rubra (blacklip abalone), 839 nucleotides. RefSeq lists it as uncharacterized. The transcript has 3 exons. Lineage: Eukaryota; Metazoa; Mollusca; Gastropoda; Lepetellida; Haliotidae. The record is from RefSeq and is a predicted model, not a curated record.
UACAUGUAUAUUCAAUCCUUUUAUAGACAUUUUCAACAAUUCACAUUAUCAAUCAGUGAAACAGAUGCCCAUGACAGCAACACACUGGAGGAGAUGUUUAUGGUGGUACAGUGUUGCAGGGACACAGGGACACCUUGUUCCUUCUGUGCUGGAAGGCGUGGAGCACUUAAGACACAGCUUGCCUCAAGGAUCAGCCUUCCUACACACGCUGUAACUAGAUGCCUGAAGUAUAGAUGUCAAGUAAUUUGUAUCUAUUGGUUCUGACCCGAUACUACGAUGUACAACAACAAGUGUGGGAGAAAUGGCUUCCUUCAACACAAUACCAAACUGACAGCUUCCUUGACUGUAUGAUAUACCACACACAGUUCAAACAAGAUGUGAGGUAGAUGAGCCAAGCAGGCCGCCUACAGUGGUAGCUAUGUCUGUAAUGAAGACUGACCUUGCCAUAUUGCUGUCUCCCCACCCCAAGGGGAUGCAGGCCUGUGAUGUGCUGUCUUCCCACCAACUACCAAUAUUACAUACUUCUUGCUCUGGGUUAGAUCAUGGAUUUCAUUACUGAACUAACAUAUUGGAUAAGUCUUUCAUGUUGGACAUUGAUAAAAAGCCUAUUCCUUGGUGGUUGUACCAUACCUUUCCUUUGCAGUAUUUCUGUUAAAAAAAUAUCAAUGCUGUACAUUUAAUCAAGUUUCAAAACACACUACCUUUCAUUGAUUAAAACCUUGCUGUUUGUUAAUAUCCAGCUUUGAUGAUAAUCCUUUGAUGAGUUGCCAGCAAAGUCAGUGGAAUUAAAUUCUCUGUGAAAUCACUUAUUAAAGCUACCAUAUCCAUUAAAAGUCAUU